This is a long non-coding RNA of Pristis pectinata (smalltooth sawfish), 314 nucleotides long. RefSeq lists it as uncharacterized. The record is from RefSeq and is a predicted model, not a curated record. Lineage: Eukaryota; Metazoa; Chordata; Chondrichthyes; Rhinopristiformes; Pristidae. The transcript has 3 exons.
CCGAAAUGUUGACCGCCUGCUUUUCUCCAGAGAGGGAGGGCAUUCUUCCAUACUGCGCAGGGUUGGUGCAGGAGUUACCUCUGCUGCCUCCUAAUUCAAAGACCCGGGUGACUGAUAUCAGGCUCACAGCAACAGCAGCAAAUCUUGAAAGUUUACUCCAUUCCAAAAUCAAAAAGAAUGGCCAUGAAAGACUCCAGACUGAAGUAAAAUGCCAAGGGGACGAUUAAUCCUGAACUGGCCUAUUCUGUGACCAACCUUGCAUUAUAUGGGUGAUUCUUAAUGCCCUUUGAAGUAGGCAAGAAUUUGCAGCCUUG